CCCUUAGACGUUCUGGGCCGCACGCGCGCUACACUGACCAGUACAACAAGCAUCCGUCCUUGGCCGACAGGCUCGGGCAAUCUUUGAACGCUGGUCGUGAUGGGGAUAGACUUUUGCAAUUUUUGGUCUUCAACGAGGAAUUCCUAGUAAACGCAAGUCAUCAACUUGCAUUGAUUACGUCCCUGCCCUUUGUACACACCGCCCGUCGCACCUACCGAUUGAAUGGUCCGGUGAAGCCUCCGGAUUGGCGCGCACCUCGGUGCCGCCGAGAAGUUGGCUAAACCUUACCAUUUAGAGGAAGGUGAAGUCGUAACA
Molecule: ribosomal RNA, 315 nt
Filed under: uncultured eukaryote
Lineage: Eukaryota
Description: partial 18S ribosomal RNA
Rfam family: Eukaryotic small subunit ribosomal RNA
Source: RNAcentral